This 247-nucleotide ribosomal RNA is filed under the name uncultured bacterium. RNAcentral's name for it is "partial 16S ribosomal RNA". It matches the Rfam family "Bacterial small subunit ribosomal RNA", at positions 28 to 280 of the family's 1533-position model. The record is from RNAcentral.
GACGAACGCUGGCGGCGUGCUUAACACAUGCAAGUCGAACGAUGAAGCCUUCGGGUGGAUUAGUGGCGAACGGGUGAGUAACACGUGGGCAAUCUGCCCUGUACUUUGGGAUAAGCCUUGGAAACGGGUCGUAAUACCGGAUAUCACUUCUGACCGCAUGGUUGGUUGUUGAAAGUUACUGGCGGUACAGGAUGAGCCCGCGGCCUAUCAGCUUGUUGGUGGGGUAAUGGCCUACCAAGGCGACGAC